GAUGAACGCUGGCGGCGUGCUUAACACAUGCAAGUCGAACGGGAAACCUGUUAAUGAAGCUUCGGCAGAUUUUGCUGGGUUCUAGUGUCCGACGGGUGAGUAACGCGCGGGUAACCUGCCUUAUACAGGGGGAUAACAGUCAGAAAUGACUGCUAAUACCGCAUAAGCGCACAGGACCGCAUGGUCCGGUGGUAAAAACUCCGGUGGUAUAAGAUGGACCCGCGUUGGAUUAGCUUGUUGGUGGGGUAACGGCUCACCAAGGCGACGAUCCAUAGCCGGCCUGAGAGGGUGAACGGCCACAUUGGGACUGAGACACGGCCCAGACUCCUACGGGAGGCAGCAGUGGGGAAUAUUGCACAAUGGGGGAAACCCUGAUGCAGCGACGCCGCGUGAAGGAAGAAGUAUCUCGGUAUGUAAACUUCUAUUAGCAGGGAAGAUAGUGACGGUACCUGACUAAGAAGCCCCGGCUAACUACGUG
RNAcentral lists this ribosomal RNA (478 nucleotides) under uncultured bacterium. RNAcentral describes it as "partial 16S ribosomal RNA". It matches the Rfam family "Bacterial small subunit ribosomal RNA", at positions 28 to 507 of the family's 1533-position model. The record is from RNAcentral.